GGCCGCCUGAGCGAAAUGGCAUCGCGUCUGACUACGAAUCAGGAGAUUGCAGGUUCGACUCCUGCGGUGGUCA
RNAcentral lists this transfer RNA (73 nucleotides) under Dendrothele bispora CBS 962.96. Its description in RNAcentral is "tRNA-Arg". It matches the Rfam family "tRNA". Rfam says of the family: Transfer RNA (tRNA) molecules are approximately 80 nucleotides in length. Their secondary structure includes four short double-helical elements and three loops (D, anti-codon, and T loops). The record is from RNAcentral. Lineage: Eukaryota; Fungi; Basidiomycota; Agaricomycetes; Agaricales.